Molecule: long non-coding RNA, 281 nt
Filed under: Malus domestica (apple)
Lineage: Eukaryota; Viridiplantae; Streptophyta; Magnoliopsida; Rosales; Rosaceae
Description: long non-coding RNA (MDOM_LNC018457)
Source: RNAcentral
CGUGUUGUGACACUAAGCAAGUAUGUAGGUGCAAAUUAAGGGAAUGAGUUCACUGAACACAAUCGAAUCAGAGUACUUGCAUGGAGGUCUACUCACAUUUCAAGCAAGUAACUCAAAUGGUUGGAAUAAUGUAAGUAAUCCUUUGACCUGAGGCAUCGUCGUUGUCUUGUGGUUAAGUACUUAAUCUUUGAUUAUGUCAACGUCACUCUAAUAGAAUGUCAACGGCAUAGUUGGGGUUAAGCCACUUAGUCAUGAAGGCAAGUGUAUGCGCAACAAGGAAU